GGAGAAGCAGAGUUGAAAUCGUCUCUGAAACAGCUGGAAAAGGCCGAUGGAGGAAUACAACAUAUCUUGGCAACUACACUAAUUGUGAGACUCUGAUUCCGUGGAAUGGAUUGACUACUUGUUGUGAUGCCAUUAAUACAACAGUGCCAGAUGGAGUCAAUAAAUACUGGGCUUGCAGUCAAAUGCAGAUCAUGGUACAGUUUGCCAACUCCUCGAAAAAAGGAGGUAUGACAUACCUAAUAUGUGGCUCAUAUGUGGUAGAAGGGCUUACCGACAGACUCCAUGAAAUUGGCAAGGCAUAUGUACUUUGGGAUUGUUGGCCCUGGCUAUAUAUACUAUGAAAAAAUUACCUAGUGGAAGAAUUCGAAAUAAACGAGACACCUUCUCCGAAUGCCCCCUGACAUUGGAAGGAUCAUCCUGGACUCAAUUUUCUAGAGGUGUUCUCCCUCCACUAGGCAUUGCAAUGAAUUAUAGAGAUUUGCAUAAGUUAAAUAAUUGGACUGUUGUUACGUUUAAUGAAACUAUUACUGCUCUAAAAUUAAUCAAUCAGGAACUGGGGGAAAUACGUAGUGUAACAUUACAGAAUCGUUUUGCUUCGGAUAUUAUUUUGGCUACAAAAGGUGGUGUUUGUGCUUUGAUUCAUUCACAUUGUUGCAUGUACAUUCAUGAUAAUCAACCUAAUAUUUCUGCCACAGUGGAAAAAAUGGAGUCCUUGAUACGUAACAACCCCCUGAAUAGUGAUGGCUCUGGUACCAUCGACUUAUGGGGGGCUUUGUGGUCCUGACUACCUGAUGGCUCCUGGCUGAGGUCACUGAUUCCUGUGAUAAUAACCAUCAUUGUAUUGCUGGUGUUACUUUGUUGUUGUAGUCAAUGCCUCCCAUCCUUGCUACAAACGUGCAAAACCCUUCUUCCCUCUAAUAGGGCGGACGCUCUGGCCAUGGAAACCAAGGUCCGUCUGAACUUAGAGGAAGUCUCCGUUGAUAAUAGAAAAAAGGAGGAGAUGUGGGAAUAAUUACAGAGAAAUGCUCCCACAGGAUGUCCCAUAGUGUACAUGAAACAAUGAAAGCGCAUGGGAAUGUGGAAAACAGGAUGAAUGAAUCCUAAAAAUAACUGGCCAUAGGCAACUCUGGCCGCCUAAGUGAUAACAUUGUAUGCUAAUGAAUGUGCUAAUAAAAGAGAGUCACAGAAUGAGUUCUGAGCUCUCACCCCGAGACA
This is a long non-coding RNA of Thamnophis elegans (Western terrestrial garter snake), 1215 nucleotides long. RefSeq lists it as uncharacterized. The transcript is spliced from 2 exons. The record is from RefSeq and is a predicted model, not a curated record. Lineage: Eukaryota; Metazoa; Chordata; Lepidosauria; Squamata; Natricidae.